UCAGGACAUAAAUAUAAGCCGGAUAAUACAAACAACUGUUUAAAAUUCAAAGAUCUUGGCGGUGCUUCAUAUACUCAGGGGAACCUGUCCCUUAAUUCGAUAAUCCACGAGUUCUUUACCCUCUUUUGAUAAUCCAGCCUGUGUACUGCCGUCGCAAGUAUGCCUCUAAAAGCUAGCAUACAAUAUUAUAUUCAUAUACACGUCAGGUCAAAGUGCAGCUAAUAAGAGGGCGGAGAUGGGUUACACUCUUUAACUAGACACCAACACCUAUUAAAAAUAUAGACUAAAGCUGGACUUGAUAGUAAUAAAUAUUAUAUACAUUUAUGAACAAUAAUCUGAAGCAUGCACACAUCGCCCGUCACUCUCGUCUAAAGAUG
RNAcentral lists this ribosomal RNA (377 nucleotides) under Branchiura sowerbyi. Its description in RNAcentral is "partial 12S ribosomal RNA". It matches the Rfam family "Microsporidia small subunit ribosomal RNA", at positions 752 to 1217 of the family's 1311-position model. Lineage: Eukaryota; Metazoa; Annelida; Clitellata; Tubificida; Naididae. The record is from RNAcentral.